Long non-coding RNA from Alexandromys fortis (reed vole), 216 nucleotides. RefSeq lists it as uncharacterized. The record is from RefSeq and is a predicted model, not a curated record. NCBI's taxonomy places the organism in Eukaryota, Metazoa, Chordata, Mammalia, Rodentia, Cricetidae. The transcript is spliced from 2 exons.
AGUUCCUUACCUGGGAAAGGCACCCCACUGAUCACUCCAGGCUCUACAAACUGAACACAGGACCAAGUUGGAGGCAGACUUUGCCAACCUCCCCGUUCCUCCCUUCUAAAAGACCUCCCCUUCCAGGAUGGCGUCCAUAACACACACUGAUGUCUUCAGUAACAGGGAAGGGUGACCAACGCUUACUUUAUAAUAAAGUCUAUUGCUGUUCCUUUA